AUUUGUCCAAAAACAAUAUAGAACCGUUCCAGUCUGUAUUCAGAUCCGGACACCACACAGUCACUGCACUUGUACGAGUCACAAAGGACCUUCUUACUUCUGCUGAUGCGAGUGCUUGAAACAUGAACUGUAGCUUGAACUUUUACUUGCAUCUGAAAGAGAAGACAGACAGAAAGAGGACUUUUAUCUUUGUAACGUCACUGACUGACUGACUCCACCCACACAUUCAGAUCUCUUCCUGAUCUCACGAUGGCAACAGAGAAAGACACAUAUAAGCAGAUGAAAACUACAGGACGAUGAUCAGACAGACGUCAGGAGUCACAGAAGGUGAUCAGAUGAAGACUAAAGACAGAGACGAGGAGAGAACAGAAUAUCAACAUGUCCGCCGCUGACACCAGAGUGAUCGUUGCCCACAUUCCUCCUCGUAGGAGAAGAUGGAGCAUAGACCAACCUCCUCACAUGAGGAUUGUUCUUCUGGGGAAGAGCGUGUCAGAAAACAGUGGAGUGGGAAACUUCCUGUUGGGACGAGCAGCGUUUGACAGUGAAGCUCCUCCAGAUGUUGUAGAGAGAGUAGGAGGAAGAUUGAAGGACAGACACGUGAUGGUCAUCAACAGUCCUCAGCUGCUCCAGACAAACAUCUCAGAUCAUCAGAUCACACAGACAGUGAGAGAGUGUGUGUCUCUGUCUGAUCCAGGACCUCAUGUGAUCGUUCUGCUCCUCAAACAUGAUCAGUGUUCAGCAGAAGAUCAGGAGUGUGUGGAGAAGGUGCUGGACUCUUUCUCUGAGCGCGUUUAUCAAAACACAAUGGUGCUCACCACACAAGAGCCCACUGAAACCAAUGACAUCCUACAGAAAAUCAUUCAGAAAUGCUUCAACAGACACUUCAGUCUUCAGAGAAGCAGCUCUCCUGAUGAUCUUCUGCAGACGUUUGAGGACAUUGUGCAAAUGAAUGAUGGACGACACCUGGAUUGUGCUGAAGCUUCACAGUAUUUCACAAUGAAGCAACAGGACACAGAAAGAUUUUCAGAGGGUGUGAAGCUGAAUCUGGUUGUGUGUGGGAGUGACGGCACGUUAAAAUCCUCCAUAUCAGAGCAGAUCCUGCAGCAGACAGACAGAAGAUCAGACGUGGAUCUUCAUGGACGUCAGAUCAGUCUGGUGGAUCUUCCAGCUCUGUUCAACACUCGUCUCUCAGAGGAGGAAGUGAUGUGUCAGACUCUCCGCUGUGUGUCUCUCUGUCAUCCUGGAGUUCAUGUUUUCCUCCUCAUUAUUCCUGAUGCUCCACUCAAUAAUGAAGACAAAGCAGAAAUGGAGGAGAUCCAGAGGAUCUUCAGCUCCAGAAUCGACAAACACAUGAUGAUCCUCAUAAUGCAGAAUUCAGAGCAUCAGACAGCAGAACUCAAUGAAGAAACACAGUCUGUCAUUGAGAGAUUUGGAGGACGACAUCAUUUCUUUGGUCCCAACACACAAGUGUCCACAUUGAUGGAGAACAUUGAGAAGAUGCUGGAAGAAAACAGAGGAGAGUUUUUCUCCACAGAGACAUUUCUGGAGGUGCAGAUGGAAAAACUGAUGAAAUAUGAAGAGAUGAAGAAGAAAAUUCAGUCACUAGAGAAAUGUGUCCUGUCACAAGGUUCAACAGAGAGUGAAGAUGAUCUGAGGAUUGUGCUGCUGGGAAAAACUGGAGUUGGGAAGAGUGCAACAGGAAACACAAUCUUAGGAAGAGACGCGUUUAAGGCAGAAGAAUCUUUUGAAUCAGUGACCAGUGAGAGUCAGAGAGAAUCAUCUGAAAUCAACGGCCGACGCGUUACUGUGAUCGACACUCCAGGACUGUUUGAUACUGAACUGAGUAAUGAGGAGAUCCAGAGAGAAAUCAGACACUGCAUCUCCAUGAUCCUGCCUGGACCUCAUGUGUUUCUCCUGCUGAUUCCACUGGGAAGAUUCACUAAAGAAGAACAGAAAUCAGUGAAGAUCAUCCAAGAGACGUUCGGAGAGAAAUCUUUAAUGUUCACCAUAGUGCUCUUCACCAGAGGAGAUUUUCUGAAGAAAAAAUCCAUUGAACAGUGUUUGGGAAAACCAGGAUCUGUGAUCAGAAACCUGAUUGAAGCAUGUGGAAACAGAUUCCAUGUGUUCAAUAAUAAUCAGACUGGAGACCGAACACAGGUGUCUGAUCUACUGGAGAAGAUAGACAACAUGGUGGAAGAAAACGGAGGGAGUUUCUACUCAUGUAAGAUGUUCAGAGAGAUGGAGAGAGAAAAACAAGAACAACAGAUGAAGAUCCUGAUGGACAGAGUCAGAGAAAGAGAAGAACUGAUGAACAAACUAGAAGAAGAGAAAGAGAGAAUGAAGAUGAUGAUGGAAGAAGAACAACAGAAUCAAGACAAAGAGAGAAAGAGAAGAGAAGAGGAACUGAAAAGAGAAAUAAGAGAAGAAGAGAAACAUCAGAGAGAGAUACGAGACGAGAUGAGACGAGAACGAGAGACAUUCAAACAUGAAAUAGAGGAAAUGAGACAAGAAAAAGAGAAUUUGAAGAAAGAAAAGGAAAAACUUCAGAUCAAAUAUGACACAGAAACAGACAGACUGAUGAACAGAAUAGAGAAUGAGAGGAAGAAAAGGGAAGAGGAAUUUAAUGAGAGAGAGGAACGAUAUGAAACUCUAAUAAAAGAGAAAGAAGAUCUUCAAUCCAAACAUGAAGAAGAAGAAAACAAGAUGAAGAUCCUGAUGGAGAAACUGAACAGAGAAAGAGAAGAACUGAUAAAGAAACAUGAUGAAGAGAAAGAGAGAAUGAAGAAGAUGAUGGAGGAAGAACGACAAAAUCAUGACAAAGAGAGAAAGAGAAGAGAAGAAGAAUUGAGAGAGAGAGAAGAACGAUAUAAAAGAGAAAUGAAGGAACAGGAGGAGAUGAUGAGAGAUGAAAUGAAGAGAGAACGAGAGAUGUUUAAAGAUGAAAUGAGGAAAGAAAAAGAGAAUCAACAGACAGAAAUAGACAGACUGAUGAACAGAAUAGAGAAUGAACGACAGAAUCAUGACAAAGAGAGUGGGAGAAGAGAAGAAGAGUUUAAAGAGAGAGAAGAACGAUAUAAAAGAGAAAUGAAAGAGAGAGAGGAGCUCGAGAGAGAGAUACGAGACGAGAUGAGACGAGAACGAGAGUCAUUUAAACAUGAAAUAGAGGAGAUGAGACAAGAAAAAGAAAAACUUCAGAUCAUAAAUAACACAGAAAUAGACAGACUGAUGAACAGAAUAGAGAAUGAACGACAGAAUCAUGAAAAAGAGAGAAAGAGAAGAGAAGAUGAAUAUACAGAAAGAGAAGAACAAUAUAAUAUACAGAUGAGAAGAGAACGAGAGGAAUGGGAGAAACAGAAACUGGAUGAAAAGAUAAGAAGAGAAGAAGAGAAGAAAAGGACAGAGAGAGAAAAACAGAUUUCUGAUGAACAGAUUCAGAGACUGAAGAGUGAAAUGGAGGGAAUAAUCAGAGAGAAAGACAGUAUGAACAUGAUGUUGGAGGAAGAACGACAGAAUCAAGACAAAGAGCGAAAGAGAAGAGAAGAAGAACUGAGAGAGAGAGAAGAACGACAUAAAAGAGAAAUGACAGAAAAGGAGGUGCAGUUGAGAGACGAAAUGAAGAGAGAACAAAAGGAAUGGGAGAGACAGAAACAAGAGGAAAAGAAGAGAAGAGAGAAAGAGUUUAAUGAAAGAGAAGAAGGAUAUAAAACAAAAAUAAAAGAGAAAGAGAGACAGAUGUGUGAGGAGAUGAGAGAACGAGAGGAAUGGGAGGAACAGAAACUAGAGGAAAAGAUGAGAAGAGAAGAAGAGAGGAAAAGAAGAGAGAAAGAAAAACAGCACAGUGAUGAACAGAUUCAGAGACUGAUGAGUGAAAUGGAGGGAAUAAUCAGAGAGAAAGAGAGAACAGAAAGAGAGAGACGAGAACAACUAGAGGAUUUAGAGAAGAGACUGACAGAAGAAAGAAACAUGAGAGAAGAUCAACAAAAGACUUCUGAAGAAACACUGAAACUCCUUGAAGAACAUCAUGAAGAAGAACUGAAGAGAAAACGAGUGGAGUGGAGAGAGGAAUAUGAACGAGAGAAAGAGAAGAUGAAGAAGAAGAUCUGCUCUGAAACUGAUCAGAGAGAAAACAGGGAUACUGGAACAGCAGGAGUCAGAGCAGGAAUAAAGCAUCUACACAUGAGUCCUUCAGAAGUCCUUAGAACAGACGAAGUGCGACCAGAUCAACAUGAGGAAAAAGAAAACCUUUCAAAGUCAAAAACACUCCUUGACAGACUUCAUCUCAGCAAGCAUCAACAUAAACUGAGAGCUGCAGAUGUUCUUCAGAUAACUGUUCAUUCAUUACAGUCUCAUGAGUCUUGUGCUGAAGAAGAGCUGAUUCACACUUUCAUACAAAAACUACUGAUGAUGAACUACAGAGCAAGAUACAUUCAUGUUAGAGAUCCCAAUGAACAAAGAGGCAUUGACUUGUUUGAAGAUGAGAAUGAUAUAUUCAUACCAGUCUCUUUGUACAAUAAAAGAACAAGCCAAUCUGACCAUAUUCACCCGAUGGAUGUCCAGAUGGCCGUGUUUCAUUGUGCUGAUGGUUUCCUGAAGCAGCUGAUGGUCACUAAACUGUCCCAGUGUCAGUACGCUCUGCCUCUGCUUGUUCCUGAUCCAUUCACACAACAGAUUGAGUUUCCUCUCUGGACAUUCAGACAAAUCCACAAGAUCUGGAAGAUCAGAAACACCAACAAUGAAACCAUCAGUCAAAUCCAGCCGAUCUACAAGGCAGAAACUCCAAUGGUGUUUUUCUUCAGGUUUGGCUCUGUGUCUUCAUCCAAGUCUCAGCUGAUGAACAGUCUGAUCAAUGAGAAACACAACACGUUCUUCCACAGGAACUGCCCAGGCAGCAGCAGAACCAGAGUCCUGAUGGAUGGAGUGGUGGAGAUCGCCUGGUUCUGCCCCUCUGGAACAAACACAGAUAAAUUCACUGACUGUGUUGCGUUCUGUAAUCUACACGGUGAUGCAGGAGACCAUGAGAAACAGCUGCAGAUCCUCACUGAAAUGAGCUCAGUCAAUGUUGUUCUUCUACCACGACUUCACAAGAAUGACAGAAGUGCAACAAUAAUCCAAAAUCUGUACAGGAUCAGAAAGCCACUCAUUUGUCUUUUUACUGAGGAUGAAUCUACUGCCAUUGAGACAAGGAGAGGAAAAUACAAGAUUGGUUUGAAAGACAGAAAUCAUUCAGAAGUAUCUGAAGAACUCAGAAGAGCUAUAAAUGAUUGUCUCUCAGAAUCAUCUUCCACUUUCAGACUUGAAGAUGUGUCCAAACACUCAGACAUCAGAGUAGAUGAGGAAGAUGAUGAUGACUGCAGGAGAGGAAGAGCAGCAGCACAGCAGAUGAUGAGUUUACUGGAGAAGAAACAUCUGACAGAAAUCAAAGAAUCAUUUCUGCCUCAUCAGGGAAAACUGUGGCAUCAGUGGAGUCAGAAGAACAAAGAACUACAUCGACCUCGAGCAGAUGAUAUUGAAAGGGAACUAAGUAAAAAACAAACAGAGAUGAAGAAAAUCCGUGAACAACAGCAUGAAUCUGACAUCAGUGAGUUCAUUAAGCUCUUUAUUAGACAAAUGAACUCACAUAAUUACCAUAACAGUAUGUUUUUCCUUGAAUGGCUCAGAAUCCUCCUGGAUGAAUACACAUCAGCUGAUCUUUCUGUUCUACAUCACAGAUAUGAUGAAAAGUGGUCAACAGUCUUAAAACUGAAAGAGUGUUAUAAUAAAUCUGAACAACUCAAAGCUGCACAAACUGAACUUGAGAGAAUAUCUGGGGAUUUUCAAGCUGCAUCCUUUGGUCUGGAGCACAUCAUGAGGGAGAUCGGUCAGAUCUAUGAAUCAUGUUCAUCUGUGAAGAAGAACAAGAAAGACCUGCAGGUUCACUUCUCUUCUCUCCCGAGUCUUGCAGCAGAGAUGUUGAUCUCUGGAUUUCCACUGGAGCUGAUGGAUGGAGAUGCUGCUCAUGUUCCUGUGAUCUGGAUCUCUGCUGUUCUAGAUGAACUCAUCCAGAAACUGGGAGACAAGAGAGUCUUUGUGCUGUCAGUUUUAGGGAUUCAGAGCUCUGGGAAAUCCACCAUGCUGAAUGCCAUGUUUGGACUCCAGUUUGCCGUCAGUGCUGGCAGGACAACCAGAGGAGCUUUCAUGCAGCUGAUCAGAGUGUCAGAAGAGAUGAAAACACAGAUGAACUGUGACUAUAUUCUGGUUGUUGAUACUGAGGGUCUUCGUGCUCUAGAACUGACUGGAAGAUCAACAAGACAUCAUGACAAUGAACUGGCCACAUUUGUUGUUGGUCUUGGAAAUCUGACAUUGAUCAACAUCUUUGGAGAAGACCCAUCUGAGAUGCAGGACGUUCUUCAGAUUGUUGUUCAGGCCUUCAUGAGGAUGAAGAAGGUCAGACUGAAUCCCAGCUGUGUGUUUGUGCAUCAGAACAUUUCAGACGUCACAGCUAUAGAGAAAAACAUGGAGGGAAGGAGACGACUGCAGGAGAAACUGGAUAAGAUGACAAAACUCGCUGCUGAAGAGGAAGUCUGUGAUGCUGAAUAUAUCAGUGAUGUCAUUAGAUUUGAUGUUGAUAAUGAUGUGAAGUAUUUUCCUCAGCUCUGGGAGGGCAGCCCACCCAUGGCUCCACCAAACCCAAACUACUGUGAGAAUAUUCAAGAACUAAAGAAAACUAUUAUGUCUCAUUCAGCAAAAUCACAUGGAAUGACGCUGACAAAUCUGAAAGAUCGUAUUAAAGAUCUCUGGGAGGCUUUACUGAAGGAACGACUCGUCUUCAGCUUCAGAAAUUCUUUGGAGAUUUCAGCUUACAGGAAACUGGAGACCAAAUACAGCAGGUGGUCCUGGAGACUUUGCAGUGCCAUGAUGGAAACUGAGAACAAAUUACACAACAAAAUAGAAAAUAAAGCAAUUCAUGAGGUUGAGGAAACUGAUCUUCAUAUAGAACUGAAGAAGACAAGUGAAGAAGUGAAGAAAUCAAUGUCAGAGUUCUUUGAGAAAGACAGAGAUAAAGAUAUACUGAUUCAGUGGAAAACAUCAUUUGAAAUCAAAAUCACAGAGCUUCAGGAGAACAUUGUGAGAGAAACAAAGAGGAAAUUAAAUGAGGUUCUUCAGCAGCGAGACCUGAAGAAAGAGAUUGAUGCUCAGAGGACACAUUAUGAAAACACUCUCUAUGAAAAGAGCAAAGAACUCGCCUUAAAACUCAAAGACAAAACAAAUGAUGAAGAAACACUGAAGAAAGAGUUUGAUUUGUUCUGGGAACAGAGUGUGAAGAAGAUCAUCAGAGACACUCCUCUAAUCAGAGACAUUGAUGUAAUGAGAGAUGUGAGAGAGAUUCUCAGUGACGUCUAUGAAAGUGUUUCUGUAGUUCACUGGAGGGGGAGCAGGGAUAUUUUCACUGUGAUGAGUUAUUCUGAUUAUGUGAAGAUAAAGAAAUCCAGUAGAUUUACAGGAGCUUUAAGACAUCGCAUAUUAAUUAAAGAGAUGUUUGGUUAUGGUCCUCUAUCUAAAGAGGAUGAAGCUCAAAUCAGAUCAUUUGUCACAGAUGUUGUUCAGCAGACAGACAGAAUGAUUCAGUCAAUUAACAUUUCAAAGAUGGGCUACAACAUCAGCUGCAUUCAACAACUCACAGGUUACAUCAAGAGGAGAGUAACAGAACAUCAGGAUGGACGAGUGAAUUAUCUGUUCAAGAAUGAAUUCUUCAUGGAUUUGGUUCUUUCCAUCUGUAAGAGAUCAAACAAGAUGAUCACUGACCAACACAACCUGUUCAGAGAAGCCAAUGAUCCUGUAAUAUAUGUUGAGAAGAAGAGAGGAGAGUACUAUAGUAUUUUCCAGAAAUACUGUCAUGGAUCUGCAUGGUGAGAUCAUCCGUCAGAAACUGAAAGAGCCCAUUUGAGUGUCUACAAGAAGACUGACAGAGAUCUGACAGAUGAUCAAAACAACAUAUUUCUGAACAUAUGCCUCACUGAUAAAGCUAAAAAUGCUUGAUAUUAUAGUUUAUUACUAAUCUAAACAGCUUAAUCUCUAUAAUGAACUGAAAAAGAUCUAUGAUAAGGAUAUUAAUGACAGACUGUUGAUGAAAUAUGAUUGAAGUGUGUGUUUGUUAAAGCUCAGUGCUGUAAUCAGACGGUGGAGGAAAGUGUGAGAAAUAAACAGAUGUGUGAAUCAAACCUCUCAGACCUGUCAAUCUGAUUCAUAUUGAUUCAUAUUCAUAUGAUUCACUCGACACAAAUACUGUCAACAUCAUGAAUUUAUUGACCUUCUCAAGUGUCCUUUCACACUUGUUUAAUAUUUACUCGUAUUAUGAGAAACUUUGAUUUGACUUCAGGAAUUGAAAUGAUGAAACCUGAAGAUCUCUAUAGCAGAUUUUCAUUCUCUGACAGUAUCUCAGUCAUUGAUAAAAUUCAUCACUUAAACAUUGCUAAAACAUAAUUAAUAAUGCUUACUACACAAUACUGUGAUCAAAAUGUCUAAAGAGUUAGAAAUUAAGAGACAGAGAGAAAUGUGCUGAGUGUCGACAGGAUCUGAACUCAAACUCUCACUGAUGAUCUUUGACAGUUCAUAUCUGUCUCAUUCUCUGUUCAGUGUCACAAGAGUUCAUCAGGAUCAUUUCACACUGAUUGUUCAUAUGAACUCGUUCUAGAAACUUGUUAAAGCACAUCAGCUCCAGCUUUGGGUUCUCCAGCUUCAUCCUGCUGACCAGAUGAUGAGGAUGAGCUGAUCCUGAUGGAACUGGAAGACGGAGGAUUUUAAUGACACUCUUAAACUGCAGGAGUAUCCACACAUCUUCAUCUGUUUAUCUGAAGCUCUGUGUUGAUCCUGUUGAACAUCUGCAAGCUCUCUUUUCUUCUGCAUUUCCUCAACCAGUUUUUGCUGUUUCUUUUUUUCUGUUUUCCCAAACCUCUGUUCUCCAUAUGCUAAAACAGGUUUGAGACCCCUGGUGUAAAAUAAUCACUGAAUUAUCAUUUGUGUGAUUGUUAGAAACAAAGACUAACAAUGAAAGACUAAAAAUGAUACUUCCGUCAUAAAGUCAUAUUUGAUAAUUAAUCAGUGGCCUAAACUAAAUGUCUGAAUGAAUAGAAAAUACUUUGAUGAAAUAUACUAAUAAUAUGUCAAUCUGUUUUUCUUCAGUUAUUCAUAAAUCGGACACAGAGGAACAGUGUAAGCUGGUUUUACUGCAGCACAUGCCUGGCAACAAUAACAUAUGCAGAUUUUAAUCAGUUUCUGUCAGUUCCUGACACUGUUUCAGAGUACAUGAUUGUUUUACUGCUUGAAGUUUCUGUUUUGACGUUGUUGUUUGUUGAGUGUCCGGCAGAUGGCGCCAAAUCUCCAUUCAAACUGAUGACUCUUGAACGGCUUUCAUUCAUACGAGGCAGUAUCAGUCCAAUCACGUGACCGUUAUUAUAUCUGUAUUAUUACUGACAGAAUUAAUCACGCUUACUGAUUAAGCGCUCUCAUGAGUCACGUGUGUCUGUUUCUGCCUGGUGUUCCGUACAGUGUGUGUGUGUGUGUGUGUGUGUGUGUGUUCAGUUAGUGAACGCUAGAACUGCGUCAUCAAUAUCUGCUCAUUCUUGCUCUUAAGAUUCCCGAAUGAUUUCCGUCACAAGGCACGUGCAGGAAUAUCAGGCGCCUCCUCCGCAGGAUCACGUGAACCGAAAGUGAAAGUGAAAGUGAACAGUCUUGAACAGCAGCUCGACUCUUGUGAGGUUAUAUUCCGCGCAUUGCUGUAUUUUAUGCUCAUAUGUUGGUUUGGUGAUAUCAGUAAUAAUUUCGAGCAUCUAUUGAGAUUUUUUUUUUUUUAUGUUUUAAAGCGUUUUUCUUUUCGAGGAACCGUUUUUAUGAGCUUCAUGUGUUCAGAUUAUACAGUGAAGAUGGCGACCGGAGCUAAAACACUUCCUGGUAAGAAACUCCGUUUACACGCUUUAAAGACAGUUUGAGUUAAUAUUAUUCUAUCCAAUCCUGCUUCACACUGAGCUGAUGAAUAUAUUCAUGUACAUAGAUCAGCUCCAGUCCAGAUGAUCCAGUGAUCCGGAUUCUUCUGAUGGACAGAAGCUCAAAAGCUCAUCUGGAAACACUACUGGGAGAAAGAAAGAUUAAAGUUAAAAAGAAGCAUAAAGCUGAAGUUUGAGAGAAGAGGAAUUCUCCAGAUCUGAAUAAAGAAGAUGGAGACGAUGAUGAAAGAGGACACACCUGGACUUUAUGAUGAUGAAUUCAGUAAAGUGUAGCUGAUGUUCUUGUCUCCACGCUUUUCUCUUCACCAUUGAAGUGGAUUUAUUCACUUGGGAAAAUAAGAAAACAUGAAGAAACUCCAAAGAGUGUUUUGGGAACAGAGUCCCACACGUUAAAAACUUUUAUAACAGCAAUGAUAAUUCACACUACACAGAGUGAACUGGACCAAACAGUGGUUUGACACGAUAUAUGUAGAACAACAGGAACUGGACUGGAGUAUUACUGGACCGAGGCUUUCAAAACACAUAUAAAUAUACAGAUCAAUAUUUCUGUCUUUAUCAUAUGUUGCAGAACGCAGUUCCGCACACUUGAACCGUGUUACAUGUCACUGGCGAUCACAGGAAGUGCAUCUCCUGCGGUGAUUCAUUAUGCUGGUUUCUCAUGUUAACUACAGUAAGAACAAAUGUAGCUCCUCCUCCUAUGUCAGCCUAGCCUGCCUGUUUCUGACGCGCUCGCGCUGCAGUACAACAGCACGAGACCAUCCUGCCAUCAAGAGCCCUUCAUUCAUUAACUCUGAAGAUCUGCUAUCAGGUUCUUCAUUUGAGUUGAAUCAUGUCUAUCAACAUGACGUGUGGAGAGAUUCAGACAACAGUGGGGUUUAUGUACAAGAUUCUGCCUGUGAUUCUGAAUCACACACUCAAUGAUCCUGACUGCGAACAGAGCUGGUAUACAAAGGACGGGCGUCUGUUAGCAGAUCCAUCAGAUCCACACAAACGGAUGUAUCCUGUUAUUUCAGUCUCAUCUGAAUGUCUCGUCACUUCUCACUGUGUGGAUCAACUUCAUCAUGAGAUUCAGUGUCAUUCUAAAGGAAUCACACAUGAGACCGUGUUCAGAGUGAGGAAUGAAACUGCAGCGACUCCAAACUCAGAUGUUCUGGAUGAAGUGACUCCGUCUCUCCAGCUCUCAGAUCACUUGUGGUGGAUUUCUGUUCUCGUCAUCAUCUUUCUUCUGGCAUUUCUCUGUUUCAUGCUGCGUAGAAGGAUCUUCAGGUGAGUCCAGACUGAUCUUUCCUAACAUCGUACUUCAGUCUUUACAUCUGACACUAGUUCACAAGAGCUCAUGUCAUCAUCAAUUUCAUUCAUUUGUCAUCAACAUUUUCAUUCAUUUAAUCAGCUUUAACAUUUUUUUAUGAAUCUGUCACAUUGGUAAACAGAUUUCUAGAUAAUGAAUUUAUAUAUGUGACCCGUGCUGGCAAAAUGAGUCGCAAUGAGCAAAUUUUCAAAAAUGAGUUAUUGUUAUUUUCACAUUCUCUGUCGAAAAACCUUCAAAAUGUCGUAUGAUUUGACAAAAAAUGACUAGGCUACAUCUGUUUGAAGUACAUAGUCAGCAAAGUCAGUUUUAAGAAAAAUCAAGUUAAAGUUUUCUGAAGGUUCCAAAACAAAAUCACCUAGAAACUAAAGUAUGCAAUAAUAAGUGUCAGUCUGUUGUUUUCAGAGGUAAGCGCGGCUCAUCUGUGAGCAUGAGGAUGAUCCAGAGAACAGGUGAGUGAAUCAAACUGAGAGAAAGGCUUGAACUGUGUUUCACUGAAUCACAUGAUCAUUUCACAGAUGGAUGAUGAAGUAACCUACAGCUGAGACGGAUGAAUCCAAACUGAAUCUGAAUGUGUUUCACGCAGGGAUCUGAAGGUUGGACCUGAUGAUCCGCGUUCACUGCAGGAAUCUUCAGUGUCCAGAUGAUGAUCACCAUCUGAUGCUCAACAUCACGGCUCAUUUUUAAUAUGCACUCGCCUUACAGCACCUUGUUUUUCCUUCACAACGAAGUAAAAGUAGAUUUCCAGACCUUUCACUGUCUCUGUUCCUCUCUGUUGAAAUGAGCUGCUGGCCUCCAUACGACCUUCAAGAAGCAGCUGAAGACACUUGUUCUGCAUGCACUUAAUGAACCCACAAGCUUAAAGCAAGGCACUUUAUUAGAAAAACAUUCUCUUCUUCUCUGUAGGGGUGUAACAGUAUAAAUAUUUAUACAAAACAUUUUUGGUUCGGCAUUCGUGUGUACUGAAUAAAUGUGUUUUUUAAACAAUCAUCACAAUCAUCUUUGUGAUUUGUUCUGAAAAGAAACAAAUCUUUGUUUUAGUUGUUCUUUUGUAGUUCUUUUCAUGGUAUUUGUAGUUCUUUUUGUUCAUGCUAAUUAUUUCCAAGUGUUGCUUGUUGUUUUCUCAGUUAUUUAACCAUGUGCUUGUGUGUAUUAUUGUUUGUUUGUACGUGUGCCUUUCAUGUGGUUACGUAUCAAGGUCUUGAACCUACAUGUCAUGUGUUUUAUUGGUCAAGUUAUGGACAUGUCUCAUGAUUGGAGCAAUUAAACACCUUUUUUAUCUGCA
Ctenopharyngodon idella (grass carp) is the source of this 12571-nucleotide RNA transcript. RefSeq lists it as uncharacterized. The record is from RefSeq and is a predicted model, not a curated record. The transcript is spliced from 16 exons. NCBI's taxonomy places the organism in Eukaryota, Metazoa, Chordata, Actinopteri, Cypriniformes, Xenocyprididae.